CCCUUAGAUGUCCUGGGCUGCACGCGCGCUACACUGAUGUGUCCAGUAAGCACCUAACCUCUUCCGAAAGGAACGGGUAACCUUUGCAAAGCACAUCAUGAUGGGGAUAGAUUAUUGCAAUUAUUAGUCUUGAACGAGGAAUUCCUAGUAAGCACAAGUCAUCAGCUUGUGUUGAUUACGUCCCUGCCCUUUGUACACACCGCCCGUCGCUCCUACCGAUUGAAUGUUCCGGUGAGCUCUUCGGACUGCGCGGUCUGCAGUUUCUGCGUUCCGUGCGGAAAGUUGCGCAAACCUUAACAUUUAGAGGAAGGAGAAGUCGUAACA
Molecule: ribosomal RNA, 324 nt
Filed under: uncultured eukaryote
Lineage: Eukaryota
Description: partial 18S ribosomal RNA
Rfam family: Eukaryotic small subunit ribosomal RNA
Source: RNAcentral